RNAcentral lists this ribosomal RNA (524 nucleotides) under uncultured bacterium. RNAcentral's name for it is "bacterial SSU rRNA". It matches the Rfam family "Bacterial small subunit ribosomal RNA", at positions 28 to 534 of the family's 1533-position model. The record is from RNAcentral.
GGCUAACGCUGGCGGCGUGUCUUAGCCAUGCAAGUCGAGCGGACUUAUGGGGUAACUUAUAAGUCAGCGGCGGACGGCGGAGUAACACGUAGCUAACCUACCCUCUGGACGGGGAUAACCUACCGAAAGGUGGGCUAAUACCCGAUGUAGUCAUCCUGUAUAGGGGUGAUGAAAGGUGGGCUUCUGUUUACAAGCUCAUGCUGGAGGAGGGGGCUGCGGCCUAUCAGGUAGUUGGUAGGGUAAUAGCCUACCAAGCCGAUGACGGGUAGCCGGCCUGAGAGGGUGACCGGCCCGAGGGGCACUGAGAUACGGGUCCCACUCCUACGGGAGGCAGCAGGCUAGGAAUUUGGGCAAUGGGGGAAACCCUGACCCAGUGACGCCGCGUGCAGGAAGGAGCCCUUCGGGGUGUAAACUGCUGUCGUGUAGGGAGAAGGGUACUAAGGUGAACAAUCUUAGUACUUGACGGUACUACAGGAGGAAGCCCAGGCUAACCUCGUGCCAGCAGCCCGGUAAUGCUACGUAGA